CUUUGGGCACAGCACAACACAACCAAGUGAGCACUGGAAACCUGGUCAUAGGAAAUGAAACAGACUGCUGUUUUCAUGAGUGACCUGUUCUCGAGCCUAAGAAUCUCUUGGGCCACCCAGCCCCACAGAGGCCAGUAGGAGGUCAACUCUCCACCUCCCUAAAAAAAAAAGGAGAAGGGAGAUGAAAUAAUACCAGCAUCCUGAACCUGAAUGUCCAGCUUCGCCUUGUUCUUUGUGGAUUAUAAGACCAUUGAUUAAAUAAAUCCUUUCAUCAAAAUUAUCUUAAAAAAGAAACUACCAUCUAAAUCCAGUUAUUCCAUCUGACUUGGUAGCAGUGAUGUUUGGAGUUUAGGACCUAAAGGUGAAAUGGGGAAAAUCUGGGUGCUCGGAAAGACACCAGAAGCACACAGAAGAAGAUCAUAUGAAGACACAACAAGAAGGUGACUAGCUGCAAGCCAAGAAGAGAAGCCUCAGAAGAAAUCAAACGUACUAGCACCUUGAUCUUGGAAUUCCAGUCUCCAAAGCUGCGAGAAAAUAAAAUUCUGUUGCUUAAGCUGCCAAGACUAUGGUAUUUUCUUAUGGCAAUCUUAGCAAAAUAACCCUAUUAGCAAACAAAUGCAUACAAAAUCUCUGUAAAUACAGCAGGUUUCCUUUUUAAAAAAACUCUUUAUUUUGAAAAAUUAUAGUUCUACAACAAAUAAUAAAAAAGAUAUACAGGAUGGUCCUAUUUACUCUUGACUCAGUUUCCCUUAUAGUAACAUCUUAUAUAACUACUAGGAAAAUGAUGUUGAUACAUUCCACAUAUCUUGUUAAAAUUUAACCAGUUUUACAUGUAUUAGUUUGUUCUAUGCAAUUUUCUUGCAUGUGUAGACCCAUGUUACCACUACCAUAGAGAAAAUCCAGAAUCAUUCCAUCACCAGAGGCUCCUUCAUGCUGUCUCUUUAUACUCAUUCUUACCUCUUUCUCUAGCUCAUCCCUAACCCCUCACAACCAUUAAUCUGUUCUCCAUCUCUACAACCCUGUUAUUUCAAGAAUGCCAUAUAAUGAGAAUCAAAAUUAAGUGAACUUUUGGGACUAUUUUCACUCAGAAUAAUUCUCUUGAAAUUCAGCCAAGUUAUUGUGUGCAACAAUAACUCAUUCCUUCUUAUUGCGGAGUAGUAGUCCAUGAUAUGGAUGCACUACAGGUUCCUUAACCACUUACUAGGAUAUUACAGUUGUUUACAGUUUGAAGCUAUUAUGACUAAAGCUGACGCUCACAUUUAUAUAUAAGUUUUUAUACAGAAAUAUGUCUCCAUUUCUCUGGAAAAAAAAUCCCAAGGGUACAAUUGCCGAGUCAAAUGUUAAGUGAAUGUUUACUUUAAAAGUGUUAUAUUGUUUUUUAGAGUGGGUGUACCAUUUUACAUUACCAUCAGCAAUGUAUAAGAGGUCCUGUUUCUCAGUAUCAGGCAAUAGAUAAUGUAUGUGCCAUGUAUACGUUUCCAGAACAUGAAAGUAUAGGAAUCUUCUUUUAUUUUAUUAUGUUAGCAUACCCUUCACACUCAAACCUAGCUGUGUGCUGAAAAGGUGAUUCUCUGGAAUUUAAGGAACUUAAAACCCCUGAUUUAUAGCAACUGCAUAUUUUCCAGUUGUGGCUAUUUCCCACCGUGGUUUUCAAACUACCCACAUGACUUAAUUGAAAGUGAAUUAAGGAAAAAAAUACUCACAAGUAGUUCUCACACAGUUCUCACUGGCACAAGCCAGUUCCAGCACACUGCUGCACAUACACAAACAUAUGCACACAUGCAUACACACAUAUAUACACACAUGCAUAUUCACAGACACAUAAAAACACAGAUGCAUAGAGACACCAGAUUUAUCUCCUUCAUUCGUACAGAUGGACCAUUAAAUAAGAUGACAAGAUGAAUUUAAUAGCAUGACAUAAUCAAAUAUAGAGACAGAUAUAAAAUACAUAGAGUAUGAAACUAUGAAACAAUUUUGGAAAUAAAAGUGUAUAUUAAUGUGCAAAUAUAUGUAUAGAAUAUGAGACUGAAAACACCAAAAUGUUGAUACUGUUUAUUUCUGGGUAGUUGGAUGACAAGUGAAUUUAGUUUUUCUGAUUGUGCUUUUCUUUAUCUUUAAGGAACAUGUUUUCUUUUAAUCAGAAAGAAAUAAUUACAUAUAUAUGUAAUUAACAUAUAUUGUAUAAUAUAUAUCACAUAUAUUCCACAUAUAUGGAAUAUAUAUUGUGUUUUAAAGUUUAAAAUGUGAGGAGACCACGUCAAUGAGGAACUUGGAACCAAGUAAAACAUGGAUGGAUAUGUGACAAUAUUGUGGAAUAGAGUGAAAAUUCAGCUCAGAAAUAGUGAAGCUUAUUUUAAAUGGAAACUAAAAUAAGAUCAUGUGGAUUAAAUUAGAGAUAUUUCCAGGAGAAGAUAUGUUUGAGCAUAACUUUCCUCUCCUCCCUAUCUGAGGAAAAUUCUGGAAGAGACUUCAUACGUAUCUAUAUUUGUAUCUAUGUCAGAAAAGGAGAGAAGUAAGGCCUGGGAGGCAGCUUGCUGUUGUGAAAGGAAAAUGAAGUCAGAUGAUCCUUAAUUUGGAUACUCUUUCUUACCAUUUGGGGCAAGUUACUUCCUCAAAGCCUCAAUUUCUUCUUCUCUAGCAUGAGAUUAAUAUUUGUGAUUCAUCAGAAGGUUAAACAAAGCAAUUUUUACAAAGUAAAAAGCAAAUUUUACAAAGAAGGCUUUCAUUUUGUUCUGUCCUAUUUUAUUCUAAAUUAUGGUAUGUUACCCAAAUCCCAGUGGGAGCUUUUGUGAGUGAAUGACAUUAAAAAAUUACUGGAACAGGAAAUAUUUCCCUUUAAUGAACUAGAUGAGAUUUUUUAAAAAAAAACCACUAAUUAUGUAUUUUACAUUAUGGAAACAGAGAUUAUAUAAUGAUAAAAAGAUGUGUAUUAUAUUUUAAAAAAUAGUUACAAAAAGUAAAUCUUUUGUUUUCAUGUGAUCCAUUCAUUUGUCCAUUAUUCAACAGAUAUUUAUACAAUACUAAUUCAGUGAAAACCAGCAUUAGCUUAGGAGAAAGUAUUAGGAAGUACAAGAUUAAUGACAUCUGGGACCAAGAAAUUUUCAGUAAAAUCAAUGAAUGGCAUUUUGCUUAUUUCGGAACAGCAAAAUAGAAAUAGUCAAUACUAUAGUCUCUGCAUCUAGUCCUUCUGUGUGAAUAUGUAUCUAGAGGCUUAUGCAAAAUAAUGCCUAAGGUUAGGACAAGCACUUUUAUUCAGCUGAUAAUAAAAUAUAUAAAGUGUACAAUGAAUAUCCAAAUGUAUAAUAAUCUAAUCCAGAAUUACUCAAUCUAUGAAUUAUUAAGAUAUGGUAAGGACAAGAUUAAAACUAUGUUUUUCUGCCUGGCUGUCUUUAAACUAUUGUUACAUGGCAACCCUUUAACAACCCAGUAGUUAGCCAUGAUCAUUGUAUUAGGCUGCUUGGGUUGCUGUAACAAAAUGUUAAUACCAUAGACUGGGUGGCUUAAAUAACAGACCUUUAUUUCUCACAGUUCUGGAGGUUGGGAAGUCCAAGAUCAAGGUGCUGGCCAAUUCUGUUCCUGCCUCUCUUUUCUGGCUUAUAUAUUUCUGCCUUUUUGCCGUGUCCUUGCAAGGCAGAGAAAUAUCUUCUCCUACUCCAAUUCUUCCUUCUACUCCUUCUUUUUCUUCAUAAGCCACUAAUCCUAUCAUGACAGCCCUAUUCUCAUUACCUCAUUCAACCUUAAUUAUCUCCCAAAGGGCCCACAUCCAAAUACCGUCAUAUUGAGGGUUAAGGCUUCAACAUCUGAGUUUUGGGGGAGACACAAUUUGGUCCAGAGCAACCAUCAUUUUGCUAAUGCCAUCUGGCUUGUGAAAUAUUAAUAGCAAGUCUAAGACUUUUCUCAAUAUUCAAAGAGGAAGGCUCAAAGAGAUUUUGAUAGUUUUUGGUUGUUUGUGAAUAUAUACAAGCUGAAUAGAAGUUUCAGUGUAAGGAUGGUAUCACACCCUUUCUCACCACCUACUCCCAAAUUUUGAAAGCCAUUACUUGAGAAAUAGACAUCCUCUUGGUGUUGUCAAUGUUCCUGAAUACACAAUAAUUGUUAAUACAUUUUGCAAAGAGAAUAUGCACCGUUGAAAGGGAAUAUUACUUAUUCAUUCAUUCAAAAAAUUAUUGAGCGCUGCUAUUUUCCAAGCACUUUUCUGAAUGCUAAGAAUAUAGGAAUAAUCAAAAGAGAAAAAGUCUCUUCUCUCAAAGAGCAUAUUGCCUUGUGUUGGAGGCAAACCAUAAUUAAACAGACAAGUGAAUAUCUAGUUUGUCAGAUAAUGAUUAGUCCUAUGGAGAAGUAUAAAGCAGGAUACAGGAAAUGGGGAGGGCUGGUAGGUGGGGAGAAGAGUGGUUAUUUUAUGUAGGUAAACAGGGAACCUGAAGUAAAUAAGGGAGUGAGCCAUGCUGAUGUCAGGAGAAAAGUUUCAGAAGGUGAGGAGAACAAAUGCAGAGGCCACAAGGUGAGAGAAUGCUUAGGUGUAUGAAAGACAGCAAGGAGCCCAGUGUAUAUAGACCAACUGAACCAGAGGAAGAAUCAUAGGAGGUGAGAACGGUAAUGUAGGGGAAGAUUACGCUAAACCCUGUAUGUUAUUGUAAGAAUUUUAGCUUUUGCUGGGAGUGAGAUAGGCUACUGAAGGUUUAUGAGCAGAGGAAUCUUAUCAGAUUUAGGUUUUAAAAGUGAAAUGUGUUGGUUGUAGAAACAGCUGACUUUAGAUGGAUAAGGCAGAAAAAGUGAGAUUAAUUGCAAGAUCGUUGCAAUAAUCUAGGAGUUAAAUGGAGGUUGAAUGAAUAAGGGAGAAUGGAAGGGUGAGUGAGAAGGAAUCAGGUUUUAGAUACAUUUAGAAGAAAGAGCUAGAGCCAGCUGACAGCAUUUGCUAAUGGAUUGCAUAUGAAAGAAAGAAGUCAAGGAUAAUCCAAGUUAUUUGGUAUGAACAACGGAGAAACGAAGUUGCCAUUUGUAAAAUAAGUAAGGCUGAGGAAGGAGCAGGUUUGGGGAAAAUGGGAAAUUGAAGUCAAUUCCAGAUCAGUUAUGUUUGAGAAGCCAAUUAGAUACACACAAGGAAAUUCUGAGGAAGGAGUUAGUAUUAUUAAUUUCACUUUAGGAGAGAGAUAUGGGAUUGAGUUUGACGGUGAGUAGUUGUCACUUACAGAUGAUACAUCAAAUCACGUGACAGGAUGAGAUCCUAGAAAGUGAAUGCAAUUACAAAAGGAAUGAGGUCCGAGAAAACCUACUUGGGGCAUUCUAAAGUCAGUGGUCUGAGCGGUCAGAAGGAAUUUACAAAGGAACUGAGAAGAAGAGCCAAUGAGAAAGGGAACUUCUUUUUUUUCACAGUGAGUGCUUGUGAACUUUAAAGGAAUGUGUGAUGAGGAGACUUUUUUUUUAAAUAACUGGAAUUAUAUCUUUCUUUUCUAAUGGUCUAGUAGGAAAAACUGUUUCCUUUAGGGGAGAGGGCAAUUGCUGGAGUAAUAUCCUUAAGUAAUAUCACAAUUUAUUUAUAGUAACAGGAGAGAAUGUCAGGUAUUCAGGUGCAUAGGCAGAUAGAUUGGUACAUGUGGUUGUGGGAGCAUGAGGAACUUCUCUCUUCUUUCUUUUUAAUUCUCACUGACGCAGGAAGUAGACUCCUUGCUGGCAUGACUAUGAAGGCAGAAGAUUAAAGGUUUUUUUCUUUUUUUAAUUUAAAAUUUUUAAUUUUUGUGAGUACAUGGAAGAUUAAAAUUUGAAGAAGACAGCUUAGAAAUCUGGGAAAAUAGACCAUCCUGGCUAACACAGUGAAACCCCUUCUGUACUAAAAAUGCAAACAAUUAGCUGGGUGUGGUGGCGGGCGCCUGUAGUCG
This 5876-nucleotide long non-coding RNA is filed under the name Homo sapiens (human). Its description in RNAcentral is "HSALNT0128435". Lineage: Eukaryota; Metazoa; Chordata; Mammalia; Primates; Hominidae. The record is from RNAcentral.